CAUAAGGCACUGGUCGGGAUAGCUCAGUUGGUAGAGCAGAGGACUGAAAAUCC
This 53-nucleotide transfer RNA is filed under the name Koenigia fertilis. RNAcentral's name for it is "partial tRNA-Phe". The stretch from base 13 to 53 matches the Rfam family "tRNA", at positions 1 to 40 of the family's 71-position model. From Rfam's summary of the family: Transfer RNA (tRNA) molecules are approximately 80 nucleotides in length. Their secondary structure includes four short double-helical elements and three loops (D, anti-codon, and T loops). Further hydrogen bonds mediate the characteristic L-shaped molecular structure. tRNAs have two regions of fundamental functional importance: the anti-codon, which is responsible for specific mRNA codon recognition, and the 3' end, to which the tRNAs corresponding amino acid is attached (by aminoacyl-tRNA synthetases). tRNAs cope with the degeneracy of the genetic code in two manners: having more than one tRNA (with a specific anti-codon) for a particular amino acid; and 'wobble' base-pairing, i.e. permitting non-standard base-pairing at the 3rd anti-codon position. Lineage: Eukaryota; Viridiplantae; Streptophyta; Magnoliopsida; Caryophyllales; Polygonaceae. The record is from RNAcentral.